RNAcentral lists this ribosomal RNA (438 nucleotides) under uncultured bacterium. Its description in RNAcentral is "bacterial SSU rRNA". It matches the Rfam family "Bacterial small subunit ribosomal RNA", at positions 30 to 507 of the family's 1533-position model. The record is from RNAcentral.
AUUGAACGCUGGCGGUAUGCUUAAGACAUGCAAGUCGAACGGUAACAGGUUAAGCUGACGAGUGGCGGACGAGUGAGUAACGCGUGGGAACCUGCCCUUUGGUUGGGGAUAACUGCGGGAAACUGCGGCUAAUACCCGAUGCACCCGAGAGGGGAAAGAUUUAUCGCCGAAGGAUGGGCCCGCGUCGGAUUAGGUAGUUGGUGGGGUAACGGCCUACCAAGCCUUCGAUCCGUAGCUGGUCUGAGAGGAUGAUCAGCCACACUGGGACUGAGAUACGGCCCAGACUCCUACGGGAGGCAGCAGUGGGGAAUAUUGGACAAUGGGCGCAAGCCUGAUCCAGCAAUGCCGCGUGAGUGAAGAAGGCCUUAGGGUUGUAAAGCUCUUUCGGCGGGGACGAUGAUGACGGUACCCGCAGAAGAAGCCCCGGCUAACUCCGUG